GGACUGGUAGCACAGUGGUGGAGCACCUGUGCGAGAUAUCAGGAGGUCCUGGGUUCAAACUCCAGCCAGUGUA
Molecule: non-coding RNA, 73 nt
Organism: Gaertneriomyces semiglobifer
Lineage: Eukaryota; Fungi; Chytridiomycota; Chytridiomycetes; Spizellomycetales; Spizellomycetaceae
Source: the annotation of a GenBank genome assembly